Long non-coding RNA from Cyprinodon tularosa, 166 nucleotides. RefSeq lists it as uncharacterized. The transcript is spliced from 2 exons. NCBI's taxonomy places the organism in Eukaryota, Metazoa, Chordata, Actinopteri, Cyprinodontiformes, Cyprinodontidae. The record is from RefSeq and is a predicted model, not a curated record.
CCUGACACAGGAAGAAUGCCAGUCAAGACAAUACUCGAGGAUUGAAAGCACAUUUGUCUUUGACUUUGAGUAUCGGAACAAUUGCCUGUGCCUGGAUGCAUCUGAAGAAGAUGGAUCUCUCGGACGACUAGUCAAUGACAACCACAAAAAUCCAAAUUGUGUCAUG